AGGCUAUGAUGAGAAAAGUCAUGCACGACUCUGAAGAAAUUUAUCUCUUUGUGCUGAUAAAGCAAACUUACAAUCCAUUUUACAUCUGAGCCA
Molecule: small nucleolar RNA, 93 nt
Filed under: Triticum aestivum (bread wheat)
Lineage: Eukaryota; Viridiplantae; Streptophyta; Magnoliopsida; Poales; Poaceae
Also listed under: 1 other name
Description: snoRNA snoZ221_snoR21b
Rfam family: Small nucleolar RNA Z221/R21b
About the family: Z221 is a member of the C/D class of snoRNA which contain the C (UGAUGA) and D (CUGA) box motifs. Most of the members of the box C/D family function in directing site-specific 2'-O-methylation of substrate RNAs.
Source: Rfam by way of RNAcentral